GACGAACGCUGGCGGCGUGCUUAACACAUGCAAGUCGAACGGAAAGGCCCUGCUUUUGUGGGGUGCUCGAGUGGCGAACGGGUGAGUAACACGUGAGUAAACUGCCCUUGACUUUGGGAUAACUUCAGGAAACUGGGGCUAAUACCGGAUAGGAGCUCCUGCUGCAUGGUGGGGGUUGGAAAGUGUCGGCGGUUGGGGAUGGACUCGCGGCUUAUCAGCUUGUUGGUGAGGUAGUUGCUUACCAAGGCUUUGACGGGUAGCCGGCCUGAGAGGGUGACCGGCCACCAUGGGACUGAGGUACGGCCCAGACUCGUACGGGCGGCAGCGGGGGGGAACAUUGCGCAAUGGGCGCAAGCGUGAUGCAGAAACGCCGCGUGCGGGAUGACGGCCUUCGGGUUGUAAACCGCUUUGGACUGUGCCGAGGCGUGAGUGACGGUAAUGGGUAAAGAAGCACCGGCUAACUACGUG
This 468-nucleotide ribosomal RNA is filed under the name uncultured bacterium. RNAcentral's name for it is "partial 16S ribosomal RNA". It matches the Rfam family "Bacterial small subunit ribosomal RNA", at positions 28 to 507 of the family's 1533-position model. The record is from RNAcentral.